Molecule: ribosomal RNA, 497 nt
Filed under: uncultured bacterium
Lineage: Bacteria
Description: partial 16S ribosomal RNA
Rfam family: Bacterial small subunit ribosomal RNA
Source: RNAcentral
GAUGAACGCUGGCGGCGUGCCUAAUACAUGCAAGUCGAGCGAACGGACGAGAAGCUUGCUUCUCUGAUGUUAGCGGCGGACGGGUGAGUAACACGUGGAUAACCUACCUAUAAGACUGGGAUAACUUCGGGAAACCGGAGCUAAUACCGGAUGAUAUUUUGAACCGCAUGGUUCAAAAGUGAAAGACGGUCUUGCUGUCACUUAUAGAUGGAUCCGCGCUGCAUUAGCUAGUUGGUAAGUUAACGGCUUACCAAGGCAACGAUGCAUAGCCGACCUGAGAGGGUGAUCGGCCACACUGGAACUGAGACACGGUCCAGACUCCUACGGGAGGCAGCAGUAGGGAAUCUUCCGCAAUGGGCGAAAGCCUGACGGAGCAACGCCGCGUGAGUGAUGAAGGUCUUCGGAUCGUAAAACUCUGUUAUUAGGGAAGAACAUAUGUGUAAGUAACUGUGCACAUCUUGACGGUACCUAAUCAGAAAGCCACGGCUAACUACGUG